RNAcentral lists this long non-coding RNA (2402 nucleotides) under Sus scrofa (pig). RNAcentral's name for it is "lncRNA (ENSSSCG00055019967.1)". Lineage: Eukaryota; Metazoa; Chordata; Mammalia; Artiodactyla; Suidae. The record is from RNAcentral.
GAGAAGGAGCGGAGCGGCGGGUGGCCCGCCUGGGGGGAACCCACGUCCAGGCUCCAGCUCGACCUCGUGGGGAGGGACGCUCCCCAGCGCGGCGCGCGGCUCAGCGCGGCGUAGACGUCCACCCUGCCGCAGCCUUCGGGGCCUGGCAGGGGGCAUCCCGCGUUUCCUCCGAGCUCCUGAGACGUGAACUCGCCCCCACGCGUCCUUACUUCCUUGAAUGUCCGCCGCUCAGGUCGAAUUGGUUGACAGAAACUUUUUUUCUUCAAAAUCUGCCCAAGACGGGCAUAGAAAAUUCCCAAGAAAACGUGUCCUUCCCGAGGAGGCACCCGGGUGUGAAUUCCAGCGGAGGGGACGGCUUUGAAUUUGGUUUUCUCAGACGGCAGUCCAGCAAGAAAGGUGCCCGAAUGGAAAACGCCCUGUGAAAUAAGAGCUAAGGGACCCGAACAGAACCUCUGUCCAAAAGCACUUGCCCUGAAAUUGCGUAUUGAAAGAAGUACAUUCCGAAAAGAAACGAAGAGACCGAGGAGAGCAGACUCUUGAGAAGAGGAAAGUCAAGCCUACAGGACCGCACCCGAAGUAUAUGAGGCGUGGGGUCCAAUUGGAGCUGUAGCCGCCAGCCUACACCACAGCCUCAGCAACGCCAGAUCCAUCCGAGCCAUGUCUGCGACCUACACCACAGCUCAGGGCAACGCCAGAUCCUUAACCCACUGAGCGACGCCAGGGAUUGAACCCUGCAUCCACAUGGAUGCUAGUCAGGUUGUUUCCACUGAGCCAUGACGGGAACUCCAAUUCUAGUUUUAGAAAUAGAGUUUUUACUUGAGAUUCAGACCAACUUAGAAUGCUAUUCACUUGAGAUUCAGACUAACUUAGAAUGCUAUUCAUUUCAAUGCUUUUUAGAAUUAUGAAAAUCAGAAACACGCUAACACUUAAUCACUAUUGGGAAUGAUUAGGUACAUCUGGUAUUUUCAUAGGACAGAAUAUCGUAUAGUCAUCAACAGUCUUAUUUUCAAAAGAAAUGAAGGAAUAAAGGUCAAGCCAACUGUGUCUGCCAUUUCCAUUCCUCUAAGAGGUUCCUUGUUCAUAAAUUAUCUUAUGGUACUACACGACCCGUCUCCCUUUUUGCAGCAGUUUGUUCUCCUGGGAAGGACGCUAGAACCAAGGUCUACAGAUCCAUAACAAGUUUGUUAAAUCUCUAUCCAGACACAGCAAGGAGAAAGAAGGGUUGAGGUGGAUUGAAUAAUGGUUUAAAAGUACAUUGAUUGAGUAGGCAAUCAGUGGACACUAGGCAGAAGAGCCACAAGGCAGCAGAAGUCAUAAAUAACCAGAGGACAUAGGGAGUAGCAGCUGAGUAACAGAGAAGUAGUAGUAGCAGGGGUCUUAAGAUUCUGAGUAGAACUGCAUGGAUUCUGGCAGCCUCCAAAAAUAACUAUAAAAGAAAAAAAGCAAAAUGCAAAGAUGUAUAUACUGUAUUUUAAAAUUUGUACAAAUUAUUCAUAUUCAACAUUUGGAAGGAAUACAUCAAUGUCUUAAUAAUGGUGGUGAGAUUACAAUGAUUUUUAUUUUUCUAUAUGAUUAUAAUUUUUUAAAACUUAGAAUUAAACAGAAUGAAGACCACCGUAGUCAAAAAUUCUAAUCAGAAAAUAGAUUGCAUGUGGUCAAAGUGACUAGCAGACAGAAUUUUCAGAGAGAAAAUUUUCUGAGAUCAUAACUUCAAGGGAAAGGUAGCUGGGUCUUUUAAGGACUAAAAUAAUUUGACUGAAUGAGGAGAAGGUGGUGAAAUGAGAAGAUGAAGCAAAGGCAAGCUGAGUAAGGCAUUAGCAAAGGAUGUCCUAUACAAAGUGUCUUUGAUACAAAGGUGUAAACUAGGGAGAGGUGCUGGGUAGGAAGGGGGAACUGGAGAUAAAUUAUCUGGAAGUCAUUGUUCAUUAGGUCAAUAAUGAAAAAGUAGUAACAGGAUGAUUUGAGCAUAGCCUAUUCUUUAUUGUCAUCACUACUUAUUCAACUUUGGAAAUUCCCUGUUUCCAUUUUAUUCCAGGUGUUAACAACCUAGGCCUAAAUUGUGGCGUGUCUAGCUUGUUUCCUGAGCUCCAGGACCUCUCUAUUGCAAUCUCAUGUUACAUAGCUGUCAUAAAAUCAUUCUUCUCUUGUAAUUUACCUAUUUGUUUUUUACUCACUGCAUCAAAUCUGAGCUUCAUGUAUAACAACAACAGAAAUCUCUGUCCCUUCCCACUUUGAUCAGCUGACUUCCCCGGACUUACCUUUUAUACCCUCAAAUUCAUUCGUCCUCCAGAUCGGCCUUUUGACUGCUAGGAAGUCGGUUUCCUUAGAGUCUCCCACAGUUCAGGCACUUCCCACCUUUAAAUCAGGGCAGAUGUUUAUCUCCUAACAAGGCCCUUCACCUU